RNAcentral lists this ribosomal RNA (453 nucleotides) under uncultured bacterium. RNAcentral describes it as "bacterial SSU rRNA". It matches the Rfam family "Bacterial small subunit ribosomal RNA", at positions 340 to 786 of the family's 1533-position model. The record is from RNAcentral.
UACGGGAGGCAGCAGUGGGGAAUAUUGCACAAUGGGCGCAAGCCUGAUGCAGCCAUGCCACGUGUAUGAAAAAGGCCUUCGGGUUGUAAAGUACUUUCAGUCGUGAGGAAGGUGUUAAGGUUAAUAACCUUAGCAAUUGACGUUAGCGACAGAAGAAGCACCGGCUAACUCCGUGCCAGCAGCCGCGGUAAUACGGAGGGUGCGAGCGUUAAUCGGAAUUACUGGGCGUAAAGGGCACGCAGGCGGUUAAUUAAGUUGGAUGUGAAAUCCCCGGGCUUAACCUGGGAAUGGCAUUCAAGACUGGUUAGCUAGAGUCUUGUAGAGGGGGUAGAAUUCCAUGUGUAGCGGUGAAAUGCGUAGAGAUGUGGAGGAAUACCGGUGGCGAAGGCGGCCCCUGGACAAAGACUGACGCUCAUGUGCGAAAGCGUGGGGAGCAAACAGGGAUUAGAUACC